AACGAACGCUGGCGGCAGGCCUAACACAUGCAAGUCGAACGCCCCGCAAGGGGAGUGGCAGACGGGUGAGUAACGCGUGGGAACGUGCCCUUCGGUUCGGAAUAACUCAGGGAAACUUGAGCUAAUACCGGAUACGUCCGUAAGGAGAAAGAUUUAUUGCCGAAGGAUCGGCCCGCGUCGGAUUAGCUAGUUGGUGGGGUGAUGGCCUACCAAGGCGACGACGGGUAGCCGGCCUGAGAGGGCGACCGGCCACACUGGGACUGAGACACGGCCCAGACUCCUACGGGAGGCAGCAGUGGGGAAUCUUGCGCAAUGGGCGAAAGUCUGACGCAGCGACGCCGCGUGAGGGAUGACGGCCU
RNAcentral lists this ribosomal RNA (359 nucleotides) under uncultured bacterium. RNAcentral describes it as "bacterial SSU rRNA". It matches the Rfam family "Bacterial small subunit ribosomal RNA", at positions 29 to 417 of the family's 1533-position model. The record is from RNAcentral.